RNAcentral lists this ribosomal RNA (406 nucleotides) under uncultured bacterium. RNAcentral describes it as "partial 16S ribosomal RNA". It matches the Rfam family "Bacterial small subunit ribosomal RNA", at positions 30 to 526 of the family's 1533-position model. The record is from RNAcentral.
AUUGAACGCUGGCGGCAGGCCUAACACAUGCAAGUCGAACGAGUGGCGGACGGGUGAGUAAUGUCUGGGAAACUGCCUGAUGGCGGGGGAUAACUAAUGGAAACGGUAGCUAUUACCGCAUACCAUCAGAUGUGCCCAGAUGGGUUUAGCUUGUUGGUGGGGUAACGGCUCACCACGGCGACGAGCCCUAGCUGGUCUGAGAGGAUGACCAGCGACACUGGAACUGAGACACGGUCCAGACUCCUCCGGGAGGCAGCGUUGGGGAAUAUUGGACAAUGGGCGCAAGCCUGAUGCAGCCAUGCCGCGUGUAUGAAGAAGGCCGUCGGGUUGUAAGGUACGUUCAGCGGGGAGGCGUUACCCGCAGAAGAAGCACCGGCUAACUCCGUGCCAGCCGCCGCGGUAAUUC